AGUACAAAUGUAAAAUUUAAAUCUCCAUAGAUUUUUUUAACUUUGAUUUUUUAAAUAUAAAAAGAAAUAUUUAUUUCAGGAAAAUAUUUUUUUUCCAUAAUAUAUAUAUAUAUAUAUAUAGAGAGAGAGAGAGAGAGAGAGAGAGAGAGAGAGAGAGGAGAGGGGGGCGGCCAUUUCCCUUGUAGGCCUCCAUUACCAUUAGCCCAUUCCCCUAGGGCAAUUGGGCCAUCCAGCCAGUUGGACUUGGGGGAGCUCCUUGGGUCAGUAACAUUCAUAUUCUCAAGCCCAGUGUAGAUCCCGUCUUUUUAAUUUCCUUUUAACUUCAACACCAUGUUUGGAUAUGAGAAAAUAGAAGGGGAAGAAAAAUAAUAAGGUAUUUUCACUUUUCUUUGUUUGGAAAGAGAGGAGAAAAUAAAGAAGGGAAGGAAAAUAACCUUUAUUUCCUUUAGUUAUCUUCUUUCCAAUUUGAAGAAAAAAAUGAAGGAGACGUGUACUUUAUUUUAAAUUGACAUAUAUAUCCUUACAUAAACAAAAAAAUAAUAAAAAUAAGGUUUAAGAAUUGCAGCAGCAAUUCCUUGUAUACGAUACCUAAAUUAUUUUCAAAAAGCAGUUAUAUAAAUAUUGGAUGGAAGGAUAAUAAUAAAUAUUCUACCUGAUAUUUACAGCAACUGGGACUCGUGCUCCUUCAACGAAAGGCCUUUUUAUUCAUGAUAUAUAGAUUGAUCAUAAUUUACUUGCAUACAAAUCAAGAAGCUACUCUUCCUUGAUGGGAUUCAGAGUCCAAGUAUUUGCAUAUUUUGACACCAAACCCUGGUCACCCACAACACGACCACGUAGCCUACCAUCUAAGCAUUGUUGCAGGAUCAUACGGCCAAGCUCCGAAUUUCCUUUGCUCAAAUCCGCCUUUGCUGCCAACUCCUCCAGUUGCCUUGCAGUCAUGACAACUUUGAUUCUUAACUUGUUUGAUGAGGUAUCAGUAUGGCUACUUUUAACAUCCUCUUCUUCAUCUUGAAGGUGGUUCAAUGGCUGCACUGCUCUCUUCCUCCAUAUAAAAUUCCCCAUUGCUUGUAGAUUUUCUCUUUUGGCUUCUGAGGAAAGGGCGAAGCAUAGGGCGUCAUUGAUAUAGAAAAAUAGACGGCCAGCCCACUGGAUGUAUUAUUUUGUACAGCUCCAAUAAUUACCAGAAUUUGACGAAACUCUGGCCACACAGUAAUACGAAUUAAAAU
RNAcentral lists this long non-coding RNA (1226 nucleotides) under Manihot esculenta (cassava). Its description in RNAcentral is "long non-coding RNA (MESC_LNC000657)". The record is from RNAcentral. Lineage: Eukaryota; Viridiplantae; Streptophyta; Magnoliopsida; Malpighiales; Euphorbiaceae.